Molecule: ribosomal RNA, 500 nt
Filed under: uncultured bacterium
Lineage: Bacteria
Description: bacterial SSU rRNA
Rfam family: Bacterial small subunit ribosomal RNA
Source: RNAcentral
UGGCUCAGGAUGAACGCUAGCUACAGGCCUAACACAUGCAAGUCGAGGGGUAGCGUGAGGAAGCUUGCUCCCUGACGACGACCGGCGAAUGGGUGAGUCACGCGUGUCCAACCUGCCCCGUGCCCGGGGAUAGCCCUUGGAAAUGAGGAUUAAGACCCGAUAUGUGGCGCUUCCGCAUGGCGGCGCCAUGAAGCAGGCACGGGAUGGGGACGCGUCGGAUUAGCUUGACGGCGGGGCAACGGCCCACCGUGGCGACGAUCCGCAGGGGUUCUGAGAGGAAGGUCCCCCACACUGGCACUGAGACACGGGCCAGACUCCUACGGGAGGCAGCAGUGAGGAAUAUUGGUCAAUGGGCGGGAGCCUGAACCAGCCAAAGUAGCGUGCAGGACGACGGCCCUACGGGUUGUAAACUGCUUUUCCGGGAGGAUAAAGUGAGCCACGCGUGGUUCAUUGCAGGUAUCCCGGGAAUAAGGACCGGCUAAUUCCGUGCCAGCAGCCGC